GGUUGCACACGGAUAUGGCAUCAUGGAAAAAGAAGCAUCUGCAGCCAUUCAAAUUUCCAUCCUGGCUUCACGGCCCAAAAGCUUGACCACACACUGCAGCACAUUGGAGAGGAGGUGCAUAAUGGAGAGUUGCAGCAAGGAGCCCAAAGCAACAACACAUUGUUUAAAUUAGGGCGUUGCUGCCUGCACCUCUCCACUUCCAC
This 203-nucleotide long non-coding RNA is filed under the name Vigna radiata. RNAcentral describes it as "long non-coding RNA (VRAD_LNC009850)". The record is from RNAcentral. Lineage: Eukaryota; Viridiplantae; Streptophyta; Magnoliopsida; Fabales; Fabaceae.